AUGGCGGACGCGGCUGAGGCUAUCAACAGGGCGGCAACGACUACGGCGGCCGCGGUGGGCGCAACAACUACAGCGGCCGCGGCCGGGCCAGAGUCAACCGCCCCGGACAUGCAUCAAGCCACGGGGCCUCCCCUCUCCGAGCGCUACCACGCAGAGGCGGCUCAGCUCCGGGAGAAGUUCCACGCGAUGGACAUCAGCCGUGUGGCUGUAGAUCCAACCGACCGGCGAUGGAGCAGCUGUCAGCGUUCCUCCGCGCGGCACCAGGUUCCGUUGCACCUCCUCCAUUGUGCUCUCCCUGCCCCGCGGUCCCUACCAGAAGCCUUGCCAGCCGCAGUCUCCCAGAUCCUCCUCUCUACGCGUCUCUGCUUCCCGUGCGACGUCGCCGGCUUCACGAUCUCCACCACGAUGGGCGUCACGAGCCCAAGGGAGCGCGUCGAGACCAUGGCGAUAAUGCUUCCCUUCCUACCGUCGUUGCCGCGUUCCGCCAAUUGCGGCAGGAAGCCAUGGCGCAGGCAGAGAAGUCGCCUGUCGAGUAGGCGGCUUCAGCUGCAACACCGGAUAAAUUUUGAAUUCAGUGUAGUAGAGAACACCCACAAAAUCUUCACAAGGAUUCAUGAACUCACUUUCCAAUGGAAGAAAUGUGAUGUUCAAUUAGCAUUAACCCGAUUGAUCUCUUGCCUGGGGAAGGGGAGACUGAGGGGGAAAUGGCGACCAAGAGGAGCGUGGGCACCCUGGGCGACAAGGACCUCAGGGGGAAGAAGGUGUUCCUUCGUGCCGAUCUGA
This 783-nucleotide ribosomal RNA is filed under the name Triticum aestivum (bread wheat). RNAcentral describes it as "partial small subunit ribosomal RNA". The record is from RNAcentral. Lineage: Eukaryota; Viridiplantae; Streptophyta; Magnoliopsida; Poales; Poaceae.